This is a non-coding RNA of Podarcis lilfordi (Lilford's wall lizard), 77 nucleotides long. Lineage: Eukaryota; Metazoa; Chordata; Lepidosauria; Squamata; Lacertidae. The record is from the annotation of a GenBank genome assembly.
CCCAGCUGGGAUAGCUCACUCUGUAGAGCAUGAGAUUCUUAAUCUCAGGGUUGCGGGUUAGAGCCCCACCGGGGGGU